CAUGCACCGGUGGGGUCCCUCAGCCUGGCCUGGCCCUCUCACAAUCUGGGACCCCUCAGGGGAUUUUGGAGAGCAGUUUGGCCCAAUCCCACAGGCCAGGCUGAGGGACCCCACUGGUGCACG
Molecule: microRNA precursor, 123 nt
Filed under: Myotis lucifugus (little brown bat)
Lineage: Eukaryota; Metazoa; Chordata; Mammalia; Chiroptera; Vespertilionidae
Description: mir-9193 microRNA precursor family
Rfam family: mir-9193 microRNA precursor family
Source: Rfam by way of RNAcentral